RNAcentral lists this ribosomal RNA (503 nucleotides) under uncultured bacterium. RNAcentral's name for it is "partial 16S ribosomal RNA". It matches the Rfam family "Bacterial small subunit ribosomal RNA", at positions 30 to 523 of the family's 1533-position model. The record is from RNAcentral.
AUUGAACGCUGGCGGCAGGCCUAACACAUGCAAGUCGAGCGGUAGCACAGAGAGCUUGCUCUCGGGUGACGAGCGGCGGACGGGUGAGUAAUGUCUGGGAAACUGCCUGAUGGAGGGGGAUAACUACUGGAAACGGUAGCUAAUACCGCAUAACGUCGCAAGACCAAAGAGGGGGACCUUCGGGCCUCUUGCCAUCAGAUGUGCCCAGAUGGAUUAGCUAGUAGGUGGGGUAAUGGCUCACCUAGGCGACGAUCCCUAGCUGGUCUGAGAGGAUGACCAGCCACACUGGAACUGAGACACGGUCCAGACUCCUACGGGAGGCAGCAGUGGGGAAUAUUGCACAAUGGGCGCAAGCCUGAUGCAGCCAUGCCGCGUGUGUGAAGAAGGCCUUCGGGUUGUAAAGCACUUUCAGCGAGGAGGAAGGCAUUAAGGUUAAUAACCUUAGUGAUUGACGUUACUCGCAGAAGAAGCACCGGCUAACUCCGUGCCAGCCGCCGCCGUAA